Molecule: ribosomal RNA, 322 nt
Filed under: Holocnemus pluchei
Lineage: Eukaryota; Metazoa; Arthropoda; Arachnida; Araneae; Pholcidae
Description: partial 12S ribosomal RNA
Source: RNAcentral
UCCUUUCGCUAACCCAUAUAAAAUGGCGGUCUUUAAUAUUUAGAGGAACUCGCGCAAUAAUCGUCAAUACCCGUUGAUUUUUACUUAUUUUUAAAGUAUAUAUACCGCCGUUACAGUAACUAUUUAAAAAUAAAUUCCACAAAACCUUUUUAGUAAAAAAUCAGGUCAAGGUGUAGCCAACAAAUAAGAUAGCCGUAAGUUACAUUAAAAACAAUUUAAGGAUAUAACACAAAAAUUUAAUUGAAAAAGAAUCCAAAUUUACAUAUACAUUAAAAUUUUAUAUAGAAUAUGUUAAUAAAGACGCACACAUCGCCCCGUCGCU